UACGGAGGAUGCGAGCGUUAUCCGGAUUUAUUGGGUUUAAAGGGUGCGUAGGCGGGCUUUUAAGUCAGUGGUAAAAAUUCGGGGCUCAACCCCGUCCGGCCGUUGAAACUGGGGGUCUUGAGUGGGCGAGAAGAAAGCGGAAUGCGUGGUGUAGCGGUGAAAUGCAUAGAUAUCACGCAGAACCCCGAUUGCGAAGGCAGCCUUCCGGCGCCCUACUGACGCUGAGGCACGAAAGUGCGGGGAUCGAACAGG
This 252-nucleotide ribosomal RNA is filed under the name uncultured bacterium. RNAcentral describes it as "partial 16S ribosomal RNA". It matches the Rfam family "Bacterial small subunit ribosomal RNA", at positions 524 to 776 of the family's 1533-position model. The record is from RNAcentral.